GUCUACGGCCAUGCCACCCUGAACGUGCCCGAUCUUGUCUGAUCUCGGAAGCUGAGCAGGGUCAGGCCUGAUUAGUACUUGGAUGGGAGACCACCUAGGAAGACUAGGUACUAUAGGCA
Molecule: ribosomal RNA, 119 nt
Filed under: Pteropus alecto (black flying fox)
Lineage: Eukaryota; Metazoa; Chordata; Mammalia; Chiroptera; Pteropodidae
Source: RNAcentral